This 1267-nucleotide ribosomal RNA is filed under the name metagenome. Its description in RNAcentral is "SSU rRNA". It matches the Rfam family "Eukaryotic small subunit ribosomal RNA", at positions 499 to 1793 of the family's 1831-position model. The record is from RNAcentral.
CGUCUGGUAAUUGGAAUGAGUACAAUUUAAAUCCCUUAACGAGGAUCAAUUGGAGGGCAAGUCUGGUGCCAGCAGCCGCGGUAAUUCCAGCUCCAAUAGCGUAUAUUAAAGUUGUUGCAGUUAAAAAGCUCGUAGUUGGAUUUCUGGUAUGGUGCGCCUGGCCCACGGUUGCAAAACCGCGAGUGUCGGUGUGCGCCUGCCAUCUUUCUAGUUAACUGGACGCACUUAACUGGGCGGUCAGCGAUCUAGAUCUUUUACUUUGAAAAAAUUAGAGUGUUUAAAGCAGGCUUGCGCUAUGAAUACAUUAGCAUGGAAUAAUAAUUUAGGACUUUAUUCCUAUUUAUUGGUUUCUGGAGUAGAGUAAUGAUUGAUAGGGAUAGUUGGGGGUGCUAGUAUUCAUCGGCCAGAGGUGAAAUUCUUGGAUUCGAUGAAGACUAACUAAUGCGAAAGCAUUCACCAAGGAUGUCUUCUUUAAUCAAGAACGAAAGUUGGGGGAUCGAAGACGAUCAGAUACCGUCGUAGUCUCAACCAUAAACUAUACCGACUAGGGAUUAGUGGAAGUUGCUUUUUCGACUCCAUUAGCACCUGAUGAGAAAUCGAAGUCUUUGGGUUCUGGGGGGAGUAUGGUCGCAAGGCUGAAACUUAAAGGAAUUGACGGAAGGGCACCACCAGGAGUGGAGCCUGCGGCUUAAUUUGACCCAACACGGGGAAACUUACCAGGUCCGGACAUAGUGAGGAUUGACAGAUUGAAGUUCUUUCUUGAUUCUAUGGGUGGUGGUGCAUGGCCGUUCUUAGUUGGUGGAGCGAUCUGUCUGGUUAAUUCUGUUAACGAACGAGACCUCGACCUGCUAAAUAGUACAACGUAACCCUUGGUUAUGUGUGCACUUCUUAGAGGGACUGUCGGUUUCUAGCCGAAGGAAGUUCGAGGCAAUAACAGGUCUGUGAUGCCCUUAGAUGUUCUGGGCCGCGCGCUACACUGAUACGUUCAUCGAGCUUACAACCUUGGUCGGGAGGCCUGGGUAAUCUUUUCAAAGCGUAUCGUGCUGGGGAUAGAUUAUUGUAAUUAUUAAUCUUCAACGAGGAAUUCCUAGUAAGCGCGAGUCAUCAACUCGCACUGAUUACGUCCCUGCCCUUUGUACACACCGCCCGUCGCUGCUACCGAUUGAAUGCAUUAGUGAGUCUUGGGGAUCGCUUCUCUUGAGGGUAAAACUUCGGGUUAGAUGAGAACCAAUACAAACUUGCGCAUUUAGAGGAAGCAAAAGUCGUA